GAUGAACGCUGGCGGCGUGCCUAAUACAUGCAAGUCGAGCGAACAGACGAGGAGCUUGCUCCUCUGACGUUAGCGGCGGACGGGUGAGUAACACGUGGAUAACCUACCUAUAAGACUGGGAUAACUUCGGGAAACCGGAGCUAAUACCGGAUAAUAUAUUGAACCGCAUGGUUCAAUAGUGAAAGACGGUUUUGCUGGCACUUAUAGAUGGAUACGGGCAGGAUUACUUGGUUGGUAAGGUAAAGGAUUACCAAGGAACUAUGCGUAGCCCACCUGAGAGGGUGAUCGCCCACACUGUCACUGAGACACAGUCCACACUCCUACAGUAGGCAGCAGUAGGGAAUCUUCCGCAAUGCACCAAAACCUAAUGUAGCAACACCGCGUGAGUCAUGAAGGUCUUCUGAUCCUAAAACUCUGUUAUUAUUAAAGAACAAAUGUUUAAUUAACUAUGCACAUCUUGACGGUACCUAAUCAGAAAGCCACGGCUAACUACGUG
RNAcentral lists this ribosomal RNA (496 nucleotides) under uncultured bacterium. Its description in RNAcentral is "partial 16S ribosomal RNA". It matches the Rfam family "Bacterial small subunit ribosomal RNA", at positions 28 to 507 of the family's 1533-position model. The record is from RNAcentral.